GAUGAACGCUGGCGGCGUGCCUAACACAUGCAAGUCGAACGAAGCACCUUGGGAGAUUCUUCGGAUGAUCUUAUGGUGACUGAGUGGCGGACGGGUGAGUAACGCGUGGGUAACCUGCCCUGUACAGGGGGACAACAGCUAGAAAUGGCUGCUAAUACCGCAUAAGCGCACAGGAAGACAUCUUCCAGUGUGAAAAACUCCGGUGGUACAGGAUGGGCCCGCGUCUGAUUAGCUUGUUGGCGGGGUAACGGCCCACCAAGGCGACGAUCAGUAGCCGGUCUGAGAGGAUGAACGGCCACAUUGGAACUGAGACACGGUCCAAACUCCUACGGGAGGCAGCAGUGGGGAAUAUUGCACAAUGGGGGGAACCCUGAUGCAGCAACGCCGCGUGAGUGAAGAAGUAUUUCGGUAUGUAAAGCUCUAUCAGCAGGGAAGAUAAUGACGGUACCUGACUAAGAAGCUCCGGCUAAAUACGUGCCAGCAGCCGCGGUAAUACGUAUGGAGCAAGCGUUAUCCGGAUUUACUGGGUGUAAAGGGCGUGUAGGCGGGGAGGCAAGUCAGAUGUGAAAUCCCGAGGCUCAACUUCGGAGCUGCAUCUGAAACUGUUUUUCUUGAGUACUGGAGAGGAAAGUGGAAUUCCUAGUGUAGCGGUGAAAUGCGUAGAGAUUAGGAGGAACACCAGUGGCGAAGGCGGCUUUCUGGACAGUAACUGACGCUGAGGCGCGAAAGCGUGGGGAGCAAACAGGAUUAGAUACCCUGGUAGUCCACGCCGUAAACGAUGGAUACUAGGUGUGGGAGGUAUCGACCCCUUCCGUGCCGGAGUUAACACAAUAAGUAUCCCACCUGGGGAGUACGGCCGCAAGGCUGAAACUCAAAGGAAUUGACGGGGGCCCGCACAAGCAGUGGAGUAUGUGGUUUAAUUCGAAGCAACGCGAAGAACCUUACCAGGGCUUGACAUACCGAUGACCGGGUUAGAGAUAACCCUUCCCUUCGGGGCAUUGGAUACAGGUGGUGCAUGGUUGUCGUCAGCUCGUGUCGUGAGAUGUUGGGUUAAGUCCCGCAACGAGCGCAACCCCUGUUGUUAGUUGCCAUCAUUUAGUUGGGCACUCUAGCAAGACUGCCGGUGACAAAUCGGAGGAAGGUGGGGAUGACGUCAAAUCAUCAUGCCCCUUAUGUCCUGGGCUACACACGUACUACAAUGGCGACCACAGAGGGCAGCGAGACCGCGAGGUUGAGCAAAUCCCCAAAAGUCGUCCCAGUUCGGAUUGCAGGCUGAAACCCGCCUGCAUGAAGUCGGAAUUGCUAGUAAUGGCAGGUCAGCAUACUGCCGUGAAUACGUUCCCGGGCCUUGUACACACCGCCCGUCACACCAUGAGAGUUGACAACACCCGAAGUCAGUAGCUUAACCGCAAGGAGAGCGCUGCCGAAGGUGGGGUUGAUGAUUAGGGUG
RNAcentral lists this ribosomal RNA (1450 nucleotides) under uncultured bacterium. RNAcentral's name for it is "bacterial SSU rRNA". It matches the Rfam family "Bacterial small subunit ribosomal RNA". The record is from RNAcentral.